This is a non-coding RNA of Equus caballus (horse), 2358 nucleotides long. NCBI's taxonomy places the organism in Eukaryota, Metazoa, Chordata, Mammalia, Perissodactyla, Equidae. The record is from RefSeq and is a predicted model, not a curated record.
CCAGCCAUUUAGAAAAAGGUGAGCUAAAUAAGCCUCACUGAGCAGAGCACUCACUGUGGGCUACGGCUGGCAUACAAUAUUGAAUAAUCCCAAGACCUCAUGAGUAUUAUUACUACCAUCCAUAUCUUACCAGAAAGAGACUCCAAACAAGUUCACUAACUUGCCAGGAACGGGCAUUCAAACCCAGAUGAGGGUUAAGGUCAGACUGGAGCACAUUCUGAAUGAUGCCAAAGGAGAGGCAGCCAGAAGCCAUGUCACACAAAGUGAGAAACAAGCCCCCAGGAAAGUGAAGAGCUGGGAGGCAACAGACCAGACAUACUAGAGAAAACUGAGGACUGGCUCCCAAAUUCCUCCCACUGACACUCCCUCCCCCAUGGGAAGACUGGGCCUGACUUUGCUGCUGAUGUGCCACAUGAACUUGGGUUUUGGAGCACGUGACCACAAAGGGCCCUUCCAGGGUUAAUCAUGCGACCAUCAUUACCAACAACUACUGAGCACUUAUUACAUACCAGGAACUGCUGGAAGUCAGGCAGUGACAAAUGCCCCUCUCGCUCUGCCAUCCAUUACAAGUUGGAAGGUGCCAUGUUCCAAUUACUAGAGACCCCAGUGGAGCUCAUGGAAAACCCUGCUCCAGGCUGCAGCCAUUACUCAGGCCCGGCAGGGCUGCCAGCAGAGCUGCCCAAGGCCCAGGCCCCACUGGACUCUGAACUCCUUAAAGGCAGAGACUCUUAUUAAUCUUUGUGAUCCCAGCCUCCAGCAAUGCCGUGGCAACCGGCAGAUGCUCAGUGAAUUUCUGCUAACAAACAGGUAAAAGAAUCCUAGGUGGGCGCUGUGUCACACAUUGCUUAACAAUGGGGAUAUGUUCUGAGAAAUGCAUCAUGAGGCCAUUUCAUUGUUGUGCAGACAUCAUAAGGUGUACUUACACAAAUCUAGAUGGUAUAGCCUACUACACACUGAGGCCAUAUAGUACUAAUCUUAUGAGACCAUCGUUGUAUAUGCGGUCCGUCAUUGACCAAAAUGUCCAUUAUACAGCACAUGACUGUAAGUGGUUUCCUAGUAUUUCUGACGUGGCAACGCCUUAAAAGUGAACUGCAUAGUUGGUGUUCAUAAGAUGAGCCCAAGUUCCUCACCCUUCAGUAGGGCAGAAGGACAGGCAAGACAGUGAUGAGAGAGAAAAGAGGGCCAGAGUACAAAGCUAGGGACCACUGGUAUCUGUGGUUCAGUAGCUCCUACAGGGAGCAGAGGCUCAAAAGAGGUUCAACCUGCAGCCCAGAGAUUGCUGAAUCUGGGCUUUCUGUAGUGGAGAAUAUGUAAGAGGUCUUCACCAAGCAGAGAGCAGCAAAGGCUAGAAACACCGCGAUCCUUGUCAGCAAUCAACAAAGUGAGUGAGACUCAGCCCUCCUUCUCUGAAUUAUAUGGUGACGCUGAGCAAUGGGCCCCACCAUGCAGGCUUAAUGCAAAGAACACUGGAGUGUUCAAAGACCUGAAGUUCAUUCCUGGGAAUGUACUAACGUUUCAAUUAAUAAAUAUUUCUUGGGCAUCUACUCUAUUUCAGGCUUGCACUAGGCACCUGUAACACAACAAUGAACAUAUCACUAAUUUGCUGUUGGACUUCUCUGAGCCUUAGUAUCCUCAUAUGACAUGGGAGAUAACCACUGUGUCACAGAAUUCUUUUGAGUAUCAGAUGUGUUUUCAAAAGUCUACUAUACAACUUUGCUAACAUAAAGGUUAUAAUUUUACUGGAUCUGAACUAGAAGGCUUAGUAAAUGCAAGGAUACCCCCACCAAAUGCCAAGGACAACUCCCUCUGGGUCUGGAUAGAAAUCCAGCAGCACAUUCCUACACACUGAAUUCCAUGGUGGAGAUAGCAAAGGAAGAGCAGAAAUUUGACAUAUUCUCUUCAAACCCCUCUCAGGAUCUUUUCCAUAGUUACUGGUGUCAGAAUGUUCAUCAUUGGGAAUUGCACUGAGGGCCUCUUGGAUGAGCCCCCAAAUACAACUGAAACUUCUCAAACCAAGAACAGAUUUAAAGACUCUUUGGAUUACAGGCACCUUUCCAUACACUGAGCUAAUUACCCGACCCUUGGUCCUUCAGCUGUUGAGAAACAUUUGGUGGUCAUUAAGCCUGUUGUUUCCUCAUUUUCCUGCUUACUAGGAUAAACACAUCAAAAUGGAAAGCUUGACGCUCUGACAAUGCUCUCUGAUUAGUGGUUUGCAGAAUCCUCCCUCUGUAAUUUUAUGAUUUGCCAGCUAGAAGAGGAAGAAUGGUGGAAUGCAAAUAGCGGUGUGGCCCAAGAGGGAGUCGGGCACCCUGAACUUUAAACUUGGUUCUACCAUGGAUUAGCUCAGUAAAUUUGGUU